AGUAAAAAAAAAAAAGUGCAGCUGUGCAGCCGUACCUUCUUUUAGCAGUCACAAAAGCUUCACAAAAAGAAAGAUCAAAGCACUUUUAUGUCGGUUCAAAAAUAGAUAAAGAAAAGGAGGAAGAAGCUAGCUCCUAAUAAGGCAAAAUCUGCAAAUUAUGGUUGGAAGCAAUCGGCUGAAGUACCUUAACAAUCACGUCUCAAGAUUUUUUAAGAACAUCACAGAAUAAGCAUAAACUCUGCCCCCUUAAUCUGUAUAUUUACAUGUAUGCUCUUUUGACACAAACUCAUGGUUAGUUCUGUAGAUUUUGCUCAAAAAAUUUGUAAAUCUCACUGCAACAAAUCCUUAUUCAUAUUCUGGCUUUAGUUUAUAUAGACCAAAUAUGGUUAACCUGGAGAGUAGCAAGAUCAUGAGCUACGUCUAAAAAUUAACAACACACACAUACACACAAAUAUAAAGGAUCUGGACGUGAAAGUUUUUAGUGGCAAAGAAAAUUACCAUGGCAAGAAGAAGAUUCCUUGGGCUAUGGUACUUUUCCCAGUCUCUGGCCUUGGCAAAGUCCUCCAGUUUCUUUGCAAGGUCCUUAAGGCUAAUGUCCAUCACUUUCUCUUCCGCAAUCUCUUCUCCUCCUUCUCCCAUGCUUCAACUCUUUUAGGUCUGUAGUCAGUUUAGAGAUAAGAGGGAUUCUUA
This 690-nucleotide unclassified non-coding RNA is filed under the name Hevea brasiliensis (rubber tree). Lineage: Eukaryota; Viridiplantae; Streptophyta; Magnoliopsida; Malpighiales; Euphorbiaceae. The record is from RNAcentral.